UACGGAGGAUCCAAGCGUUAUCCGGAUUCAUUGGGUUUAAAGGGUGCGUAGGCGGAAUAUUAAGUCAGUGGUGAAAGCCUGUUGCUUAACAACAGAACUGCCAUUGAUACUGCUAAUCUUGAGUACAUUUGAUGUGGGCGGAAUGUGUCGUGUAGCGGUGAAAUGCUUAGAUAUGACACAGAACACCGAUUGCGAAGGCAGCUCACAAAACUGUUACUGACGCUGAGGCACGAAAGCGUGGGGAUCGAACAGG
RNAcentral lists this ribosomal RNA (253 nucleotides) under uncultured bacterium. RNAcentral's name for it is "partial 16S ribosomal RNA". It matches the Rfam family "Bacterial small subunit ribosomal RNA", at positions 524 to 776 of the family's 1533-position model. The record is from RNAcentral.